RNAcentral lists this ribosomal RNA (253 nucleotides) under uncultured bacterium. RNAcentral's name for it is "partial 16S ribosomal RNA". It matches the Rfam family "Bacterial small subunit ribosomal RNA", at positions 524 to 776 of the family's 1533-position model. The record is from RNAcentral.
UACGGAGGGGGCUAGCGUUGUUCGGAAUUACUGGGCGUAAAGCGCGCGUAGGCGGAUCUGCAAGUCGGGGGUGAAAUCCCGAGGUUCAACCUCGGAACUGCCUUCGAUACUGCGGGUCUCGAGUCCGGGAGAGGUGAGUGGAAUUCCUAGUGUAGAGGUGAAAUUCGUAGAUAUUAGGAAGAACACCAGUGGCGAAGGCGGCUCACUGGCCCGGUACUGACGCUGAGGCGCGAAAGCGUGGGGAGCAAACAGG